RNAcentral lists this ribosomal RNA (498 nucleotides) under uncultured bacterium. RNAcentral's name for it is "partial 16S ribosomal RNA". It matches the Rfam family "Bacterial small subunit ribosomal RNA", at positions 28 to 507 of the family's 1533-position model. The record is from RNAcentral.
GACGAACGCUGGCGGCGUGCCUAAUACAUGCAAGUCGAACGAGAGCAACCGGUGCUUGCACUGGUCAAUCUAGUGGCGAACGGGUGAGUAGCACGUGGGUAACCUGCCCAUCAGAGGGGGAUAACAUCCGGAAACGGAUGCUAAAACCGCAUAGGUCUUCGAACCGCAUGGUUUGAAGAGGAAAAGAGGCGCAAGCUUCUGCUGUUGGUUGGACCCGCGGUGCAUUAGCUAGUUGGUAAGGUAACGGCUCACCAAGGCCGUGAUGCAUAGCCGACCUGAGAGGGUGAUCGGCCACACUGGAACUGAGACACGGCCCAAACUCCUACGGGAGGCAGCAGUAGGGAAUCUUCCGCAAUGGACGAAAGUCUGACGGAGCAACGCCGCGUGAGUGAAGAAGGUUUUCGGAUCGUAAAACUCUGUUGUUAGAGAAGAACAAGUGCUAGAGUAACUGUUAGCGCCUUGACGGUAUCUAACCAGAAAGCCACGGCUAACUACGUG